AGCGAAUCGCUUAAAGCCGGUCUCAGUUCGGAUCGGUGUCUGCAACUCGACCCCGUGAAGUCGGAGUCGCUAGUAAUCGCAGAUCAGCAACGCUGCGGUGAAUACGUUCCCGGGCCUUGUACACACCGCCCGUCACGUCAUGAAAGUCGGUAACACCCGAAGCCGGUGGCCUAACCCCUUGUGGGAGGGAGCCGUCGAAGGUGGGAUCGGCGAUUGGGACGAAGUCGUAACAAGGUAGCCGUAUCGGAAGGUGCGGCUGGAUCACCUCCUUU
This 272-nucleotide ribosomal RNA is filed under the name Escherichia coli. Its description in RNAcentral is "partial 16S ribosomal RNA". It matches the Rfam family "Bacterial small subunit ribosomal RNA", at positions 1266 to 1533 of the family's 1533-position model. The record is from RNAcentral. Lineage: Bacteria; Pseudomonadati; Pseudomonadota; Gammaproteobacteria; Enterobacterales; Enterobacteriaceae.